ACUAGGAUUAGAUACCCUAUUAUUAAGAAAAAUUAUAUUGUUAGUAUAUAAAUUGUAUGAAAACAAAAAAUUAUGGCGGUAUUUUAAGCUUUUCAGAGGAAUUUGCUCUUUAAUGGAUAAAACACCUAAAUCUUACUAAAUUUAGUUAAGCAGUUUGUAUACCACUAUUUAAGUAAUAAUUUGCUAUUAUUACUAAAAUUUAUAUUAAUUAAAAAAAGUUAAGUCAAGGUGCAGCAUAAAUUUUAGUAUGAAGUGAAUUACAUUUCUUUUAAGAAAAAUUUGUUGAAAAUAAAAUUUAGGAUUUGAAAGUAAAAUUUUAAUAGAAGGAAAAUUUGAAUUAAGCUCUAAAAUAUGUACACAUCGCCC
RNAcentral lists this ribosomal RNA (366 nucleotides) under Haemaphysalis longicornis (longhorned tick). Its description in RNAcentral is "partial 12S ribosomal RNA". The record is from RNAcentral. Lineage: Eukaryota; Metazoa; Arthropoda; Arachnida; Ixodida; Ixodidae.